CUGCGAAUGGCUCAUUAAAUCAGUUAUCGUUUAUUUGAUAGUACCUUACUACUUGGAUAACCGUGGUAAUUCUAGAGCUAAUACAUGCUAAAAACCCCGACUUCGGGAGGGGUGUAUUUAUUAGAUAAAAAACCAAUGCCCUUCGGGGCUCUUUGGUGAUUCAUGAUAACUUAACGGAUCGCAUGGCCUUGCGCCGGCGACGGUUCAUUCAAAUUUCUGCCCUAUCAACUUUCGAUGGUAAGGUAUUGGCUUACCAUGGUUUCAACGGGUAACGGGGAAUUAGGGUUCGAUUCCGGAGAGGGAGCCUGAGAAACGGCUACCACAUCCAAGGAAGGCAGCAGGCGCGCAAAUUACCCAAUCCCGACUCGGGGAGGUAGUGACAAUAAAUACUGAUACAGGGCUCUUUUGGGUCUUGUAAUCGGAAUGAGUACAAUUUAAACCCCUUAACGAGGAACAAUUGGAGGGCAAGUCUGGUGCCAGCAGCCGCGGUAAUUCCAGCUCCAAUAGCGUAUAUUAAAGUUGUUGCAGUUAAAAAGCUCGUAGUUGAACCUUGGGCCUGGCUGGCCGGUCCGCCUCACCGCGUGUACUGGUCCGGCCGGGCCUUUCCUUCUGGAGAGCCGCAUGCCCUUCACUGGGUGUGUCGGGGAACCAGGACUUUUACUUUGAAAAAAUUAGAGUGUUCAAAGCAGGCCUUUGCUCGAAUACGUUAGCAUGGAAUAAUAGAAUAGGAUGUGCGGUCCUAUUUUGUUGGUUUCUAGGACCGCCGUAAUGAUUAAUAGGGAUAGUCGGGGGCAUCAGUAUUCAAUUGUCAGAGGUGAAAUUCUUGGAUUUAUUGAAGACUAACUACUGCGAAAGCAUUUGCCAAGGAUGUUUUCAUUAAUCAGUGAACGAAAGUUAGGGGAUCGAAGACGAUCAGAUACCGUCGUAGUCUUAACCGUAAACUAUGCCGACUAGGGAUCGGGCGAUGUUUCUAUCUUGACUCGCUCGGCACCUUACGAGAAAUCAUAAG
RNAcentral lists this ribosomal RNA (1009 nucleotides) under Aquasubmersa japonica. RNAcentral describes it as "SSU rRNA". It matches the Rfam family "Eukaryotic small subunit ribosomal RNA", at positions 87 to 1103 of the family's 1831-position model. The record is from RNAcentral. Lineage: Eukaryota; Fungi; Ascomycota; Dothideomycetes; Pleosporales.